AGUGAACGCUGGCGGUAGGCCUAACACAUGCAAGUCGAACGGCAGCACAGUAAGAGCUUGCUCUUACGGGUGGCGAGUGGCGGACGGGUGCGGAAUACAUCGGAAUCUACUUUUUCGUGGGGGAUAACGUAGGGAAACUUACGCUAAUACCGCAUACGACCUACGGGUGAAAGCAGGGGAUCUUCGGACCUUGCGCGAUUGAAUGAGCCGAUGUCGGAUUAGCUAGUUGGCGGGGUAAAGGCCCACCAAGGCGACGAUCCGUAGCUGGUCUGAGAGGAUGAUCAGCCACACUGGAACUGAGACACGGUCCAGACUCCUACGGGAGGCAGCAGUGGGGAAUAUUGGACAAUGGGCGCAAGCCUGAUCCAGCCAUACCGCGUAGGUGAAGAAGGCCUUCGGGUUGUAAAGCCCUUUUGUUGGGAAAGAAAAGCAGCAGGUUAAUACCCCGCUGUUCUGACGGUACCCAAAGAAUAAGCACCGGCUAACUUCGUG
This 492-nucleotide ribosomal RNA is filed under the name uncultured bacterium. RNAcentral describes it as "partial 16S ribosomal RNA". It matches the Rfam family "Bacterial small subunit ribosomal RNA", at positions 29 to 507 of the family's 1533-position model. The record is from RNAcentral.